GAUGAACGCUGGCGGCGUGCCUAAUACAUGCAAGUCGAGCGAACGGACGAGAAGCUUGCUUCUCUGAUGUUAGCGGCGGACGGGUGAGUAACACGUGGAUAACCUACCUAUAAGACUGGGAUAACUUCGGGAAACCGGAGCUAAUACCGGAUAAUAUUUUGAACCGCAUGGUUCAAAAGUGAAAGACGGUCUUGCUGUCACUUAUAGAUGGAUCCGCGCUGCAUUAGCUAGUUGGUAAGGUAACGGCUUACCAAGGCAACGAUGCAUAGCCGACCUGAGAGGGUGAGCGGCCACACUGGAACUGAGACACGGUCCAGACUCCUACGGGAGGCAGCAGUAGGGAAUCUUCCGCAAUGGGCGAAAGCCUGACGGAGCAACGCCGCGUGAGUGAUGAAGGUCUUCGGAUCGUAAAACUCUGUUAUUAGGGAAGAACAUAUGUGUAAGUAACUGUGCACAUCUUGAGGGUACCUAAUCAGAAAGCCACGGCUAACUACGUG
This 497-nucleotide ribosomal RNA is filed under the name uncultured bacterium. RNAcentral describes it as "partial 16S ribosomal RNA". It matches the Rfam family "Bacterial small subunit ribosomal RNA", at positions 28 to 507 of the family's 1533-position model. The record is from RNAcentral.